RNAcentral lists this ribosomal RNA (253 nucleotides) under uncultured bacterium. RNAcentral's name for it is "partial 16S ribosomal RNA". It matches the Rfam family "Bacterial small subunit ribosomal RNA", at positions 524 to 776 of the family's 1533-position model. The record is from RNAcentral.
UACAGGGGGUGCAAGCGUUGUUCGGAAUUAUUGGGCGUAAAGCGCGCGCAGGCGGUCCUUUAAGUCUGAUGUGAAAGCCCACGGCUCAACCGUGGAGGGUCAUUGGAAACUGGGGGACUUGAGUACAGAAGAGAAGAGUGGAAUUCCACGUGUAGCGGUGAAAUGCGUAGAGAUGUGGAGGAACACCAGUGGCGAAGGCGACUCUUUGGUCUGUAACUGACGCUGAGGCGCGAAAGCGUGGGGAGCAAACAGG